UCAAGCUACCAAGGGCACACGGUGGAUGCCUUGGCGCUGGGAGCCGAUGAAGGACGUGGCAAGCUGCGAUAAGCCUCGGCGAGCUGCAAGCAAGCGUUUGAACCGGGGAUUUCCGAAUGGGGAAACCCGCCGCGGGGAAUGCCGCGGCAUCCAUGCCUGAACACAUAGGGCAUGGAAGGGAACCGGGGGAACUGAAACAUCUAAGUACCCCGAGGAAAAGAGACAAUACUGCAUUCCGUAAGUAGCGGCGAGCGAAAGCGGAGGAGCCUAAACCCUGUGCGCGUGAUAGCCUGCAGGCGUUGCGCACGGGGGGUUGUAGGAGCGACCGGGGAUCUCUGCAGGGAUCCGUCCGACACGAAGGUCUUUAGCCGAACGGCCUGGAACGGCCGGCCACAGGGGGUGAAAGCCCCGUAGGCGAAAGGGAUCUUCGGCGGAUGGCCGCCGCCUAAGUACCGCGGGACACGAGAAAUCCCGCGGGAACCCGGGAGGACCACCUCCCAAGGCUAAAUACUACCCAGCGACCGAUAGUGAACUAGUACCGUGAGGGAAAGGUGAAAAGCACCCCGGGAGGGGAGUGAAAUAGUACCUGAAACCGUGUUGCCUACAAACAGUGGGAGGGCUAUGGCGCGAGCCAGCCUGACCGCGUACUUUUUGUAGAACGGACCGGCGACUUACGGUGUGCGGCAAGGUUAAGCGGAUAACGCGGAGCCGAAGCGAAAGCGAGUCUUAACAGGGCGAAUUAGUCGUACGCUGUAGACCCGAAACCGGGCGAUCUAUCCAUGGCCAGGGUGAAGCGGAAGUAACGUUCCGUGGAGGCCCGAACCCAUUAGUGUUGAAAAACUAUGGGAUGAGCUGUGGAUAGGGGUGAAAAGCCAAUCGAGCUCGGAGAUAGCUGGUUCUCCCCGAAAUAGCUUUAGGGCUAGCCUCGGGAAUAGGCUUGCGGAGGUAGAGCACUGAUCGGGCAAGGGGCCCUGAAAGGUUACCGACCCCUUUCAAACUCCGAAUGCCGCAAGCUGGUGCCCGGGAGUCAGACUGUGGGGGCUAAGCUUCAUAGUCGAGAGGGAAACAGCCCAGACCGCCGGCUAAGGUCCCAAAUUGACAGCUAAGUGGUUAAGGAUGUGGAACUGCCCAGACAACCAGGAUGUUGGCUUAGAAGCAGCCAUACAUUUAAAGAGUGCGUAAUAGCUCACUGGUCGAGAGUCUCUGCGCCGACAAUGUAACGGGGCUAAGAUAUAAACCGAAGCUGUGGAAUGUACCGUAUGGUAUAUUGGUAGGAGAGCGUUGUGUAGGCCGGUGAAGGUGUACCGAAAGGAGCACUGGAGGUAUCACAAGUGAGAAUGCAGGAAUGAGUAGCGAAAAAGAGGGUGAGAAUCCCUCUCGCCGGAAGUCCAAGGUUUCCAGGGCAAUGCUUGUCAUCCCUGGGGAAGUCGGGACCUAAGUUGAGGCUUAUAAGCGUAGGCGAAUGGAAAGUAGGUUAAUAUUCCUACACCAGUUAUGUAUUGUGAUGGAGGGACGCAGAAGGGUAGAUACGCUGGGCGACGGUUGUCCCAGUGCAAGCAUGUAGGGUGGCCAGAUAGGAAAAUCCGUUUGGCUAUAUCUGAGGUGUGAUGCGGAGCACGUAAGUGCAGAAGGUAUUGAUCCCACGCUGCCAAGAAAAGCUUCUAACGUUAAGACAUAACUGCCCGUACUGUAAACCGACACAGGUGGACAGCGUGAGAAACGUAAGGCGGACAGGCUAACUCUCGCUAAGGAACUCUGCAAAAUGGCCCCGUAACUUCGGGAGAAGGGGUGCCUUUGAUGGUGAUGGUUCACGCAACCUGAGCUGUCGGAGGCCGCAGUGAAAAGACUCAAGCGACUGUUUAACAAAAACACAGGUCUAUGCUAAGCUGAAAGGCGAUGUAUAUGGGCUGACACCUGCCCAGUGCCGGAAGGUUAAGAGGAGGAGUGAGAGCUCCGAAUUGAAGCCCCGGUGAACGGCGGCCGUAACUAUAACGGUCCUAAGGUAGCGAAAUUCCUUGUCGGGUAAGUUCCGACCUGCACGAAUGGCGUAACGACUUGGGCGCUGUCUCAACGAGGGACUCGGCGAAACUGUAAGUGCACGUGAAGAUACGUGCUACCCACGACUAGACGGAAAGACCCCAUGGAGCUUUACUGCAUCCUGAGAUUGGAUUUUGGCAGGGCAUGUACAGGAUAGGUGGGAGGCUUAGAAGCAACGACGCUAGUUGUUGUGGAGCCACCCUUGGGAUACCACCCUUGUUUUGCUGGAGUUCUAACCCGCGGCCGUGAUCCGGCUGGGGGACAUUCUCAGGUGGGCAGUUUGACUGGGGCGGUCGCCUCCUAAAAGGUAACGGAGGCGCCCAAAGGUUCCCUCAGCGCGGUUAGAAAUCGCGCGCAGAGUGCAAAGGCAGAAGGGAGCUUGACUGCGAGACGUACAUGUCGAGCAGGGACGAAAGUCGGGCUUAGCGAUCAGGUGGUUCCGAGUGGAAGGGCCAUCGCUCAACGGAUAAAAGCUACCCUGGGGAUA
RNAcentral lists this ribosomal RNA (2524 nucleotides) under wastewater metagenome. RNAcentral's name for it is "bacterial LSU rRNA". It matches the Rfam family "Bacterial large subunit ribosomal RNA", at positions 3 to 2476 of the family's 2925-position model. The record is from RNAcentral.